RNAcentral lists this ribosomal RNA (505 nucleotides) under uncultured soil bacterium. RNAcentral describes it as "bacterial SSU rRNA". It matches the Rfam family "Bacterial small subunit ribosomal RNA", at positions 26 to 532 of the family's 1533-position model. The record is from RNAcentral.
AGAUUGAACGCUGGCGGCAUGCCUUACACAUGCAAGUCGAACGGUAGAGUAGCAAUACUUGAGAGUGGCGAACGGGUGAGUAAUAUAUCGGAACGUGCCCAGUCGUGGGGGAUAACGUAGAGAAAUUUGCGCUAAUACCGCAUACGAUCUAAGGAUGAAAGCGGGGGACCGUAAGGCCUCGCGCGAUUGGAGCGGCUGAUAUCAGAUUAGGUUGUUGGUGAGGUAAAAGCUCACCAAGCCGACGAUCUGUAGCUGGUUUGAGAGAACGACCAGCCACACUGGGACUGAGACACGGCCCAGACUCCUACGGGAGGCAGCAGUGGGGAAUUUUGGACAAUGGGCGAAAGCCUGAUCCAGCAAUGCCGCGUGCAGGAAGAAGGCUUCGGUGUAAACUGCUUUGUACGGAACGAAACGGUCGUGCUUUAGUACAGUGGCAAUGACGUACGUAAGAAUAGACGACCGACUAACGUACGUCGACCGACGUACACGCCGUACGGUACUCGUA